Molecule: ribosomal RNA, 253 nt
Filed under: uncultured bacterium
Lineage: Bacteria
Description: partial 16S ribosomal RNA
Rfam family: Bacterial small subunit ribosomal RNA
Source: RNAcentral
UACGUAGGGGGCAAGCGUUGUCCGGAAUCAUUGGGCGUAAAGAGCGCGUAGGCGGCCCUGUAAGUCCGCUGUGAAAGUCAAGGGCUCAACCCUUGAAUGCCGGUGGAUACUGCAGGGCUAGAGUCCGGAAGAGGCGAGUGGAAUUCCUGGUGUGGCGGUGAAAUGCGCAGAUAUCAGGAGGAACACCGGUGGCGAAGGCGGGUCUCUGGGCAACUACUGACGCUGAGGAGCGAAAGCGUGGGGAGCGAACAGG